UACAGAGGUCUCAAGCGUUGUUCGGAUUUAUUGGGCGUAAAGGGCGUGUAGGCGGCGCCGUAAGUCGGGGGUGAAAUUUCGGAGCUUAACUCCGAAACUGCAUUCGAUACUGCGAUGCUAGAGGACUGGAGAGGAGACUGGAAUUCAUGGUGUAGCGGUGAAAUGCGUAGAGAUCAUGAGGAAGACCAGUGGCGAAGGCGGGUCUCUGGACAGUACCUGACACUGAGACACGAAAGCCUGGGGAGCAAACGGG
RNAcentral lists this ribosomal RNA (253 nucleotides) under uncultured bacterium. RNAcentral's name for it is "partial 16S ribosomal RNA". It matches the Rfam family "Bacterial small subunit ribosomal RNA", at positions 524 to 776 of the family's 1533-position model. The record is from RNAcentral.